This 441-nucleotide ribosomal RNA is filed under the name Phalias sp. ARC3953. Its description in RNAcentral is "SSU rRNA". It matches the Rfam family "Eukaryotic small subunit ribosomal RNA", at positions 7 to 429 of the family's 1831-position model. The record is from RNAcentral. Lineage: Eukaryota; Metazoa; Arthropoda; Insecta; Coleoptera; Curculionidae.
GUUGAUCCUGCCAGUAGUCAUAUGCUUGUCUCAAAGAUUAAGCCAUGCAUGUCUCAGUACAAGCCAAAUUAAGGUGAAACCGCGAAAGGCUCAUUAAAUCAGUUAUGGUUCCUUAGAUUGUACCCACAAUUACUUGGAUAACUGUGGUAAUUCUAGAGCUAAUACAUGCAGACCGAGCUUCGACCGGAGACGGAAGAAGUGCUUUUAUUAGAACAAAACCAAUCGGUGGCGGGUGCGCUCGUCAUCGUAUAAAUUGGUGACUCUGAAUAACUUUGUGCUGAUCGCACGGUCAUCGAACCGGCGACGCAUCUUUCAAAUGUCUGACUUAUCAACUGUCGAUGGUAGGUUCUGCGCCUACCAUGGUCGUAAMGGGUAACGGGGAAUCAGGGUUCGAUUCCGGAGAGGGAGCCUGARAAACGGCUACCACAUCCAAGGAAGGCA